This 229-nucleotide unclassified non-coding RNA is filed under the name uncultured fungus. RNAcentral describes it as "sequence contains ITS1, 5.8S rRNA gene". The stretch from base 181 to 229 matches the Rfam family "5.8S ribosomal RNA", at positions 1 to 49 of the family's 154-position model. Lineage: Eukaryota; Fungi. The record is from RNAcentral.
UCUCCGUAGGUGAACCUGCGGAGGGAUCAUUACUGAGCGAGGGUCUCCGGGCCCGACCUCCAACCCUUUUGUGAACCACCUCGUUGCUUCGGGGGCGACCCUGCCGUUUGCGGCGUGGGGCCCCCGGAGCCCAUCAAACCCUGCACAACUAAGUCGUCGGAGUUUAAAUAAAUCAAUCAAAACUUUCAACAACGGAUCUCUUGGUUCGGGCAUCGAUGAAGAACGCAGC